UGACCCCAAGGUGCCAGGCGGCCUCGUGGCUUCUCGGGUCUAGCCGCCAUGCACCCGCCCAACCACCAGCGCCUGCCUGCCACCCCAGCAGGCCAACUUCUUGGGGCGUUCCAACGCGGCGCCCCCUG
Non-coding RNA from Procavia capensis (Cape rock hyrax), 128 nucleotides. Lineage: Eukaryota; Metazoa; Chordata; Mammalia; Hyracoidea; Procaviidae. The record is from Rfam.